This 76-nucleotide transfer RNA is filed under the name Prevotellaceae bacterium. RNAcentral describes it as "tRNA-His". It matches the Rfam family "tRNA". From Rfam's summary of the family: Transfer RNA (tRNA) molecules are approximately 80 nucleotides in length. Their secondary structure includes four short double-helical elements and three loops (D, anti-codon, and T loops). Lineage: Bacteria; Pseudomonadati; Bacteroidota; Bacteroidia; Bacteroidales; Prevotellaceae. The record is from RNAcentral.
GGUGAUCGUAGCUCAGUUGGUUAGAGCGCCAGAUUGUGGCUCUGGAGGUCGUGGGUUCAAAUCCCAUCUUUCACCC